This 30-nucleotide small RNA is filed under the name Arabidopsis thaliana (thale cress). Its description in RNAcentral is "ATSL254890". The record is from RNAcentral. Lineage: Eukaryota; Viridiplantae; Streptophyta; Magnoliopsida; Brassicales; Brassicaceae.
GAAAGAGGAAGAAGAAGGAGAAGAAAAAAA